CCAGCGCUGGGCCAGUGCAGGCCGAGCCCUGCGUCCCUGCCUCGCUGGGUGGGGGUCCGGGGCGCGGCUGUCCACAGGGCCGCCUCCUCCUGCGGCCCGCGGGGAAGGGGCGCAUCCCACCCCGCUCUGCAGGCCGCCCUUCUGCCAGCUGGGAGGCGAGGGCACACGUCCUAAGGCUGCCCAAGGGGGAGAGGAAUCGCGCCGGUAGGAGAGCGCACGGGAACCAGGAACGCAAGGCGGGCACAGGGGAGCCGAAGGAGCCAGACAGGGCCCGGCCACGCGCCCUCCUCGCUCGGCUGCGCUCCGUGACGGGAACCCAGGCUCCCACGCACGGGGAAUGCCUAGAACGGAGCUAGAAUGGAGGCCCCUUUGUGUGACUAAAUUUGGCAAGAAUAUGGAUCUGAGCCAGUCUUUCCACGUGUGCUCCCAGCUCCCAGCUGAGAAGGCCAAGGGUUCUCUUCCGGGUAAGGAGACAGGGAGAAAGAUCAAAGAGUUUGGGGAGCUGGAUCUGAAAUGUGAAUUGAAAAUAAAAAUCAAGCCUGGACACAUUCCAGUUUCUAAAGCAAA
RNAcentral lists this long non-coding RNA (567 nucleotides) under Homo sapiens (human). RNAcentral's name for it is "non-protein coding LEF1-AS1:22". Lineage: Eukaryota; Metazoa; Chordata; Mammalia; Primates; Hominidae. The record is from RNAcentral.